Molecule: ribosomal RNA, 1343 nt
Filed under: uncultured bacterium
Lineage: Bacteria
Description: 16S ribosomal RNA
Rfam family: Bacterial small subunit ribosomal RNA
Source: RNAcentral
GACGAACGCUGGCGGCGUGCUUAACACAUGCAAGUCGAACGGAAAGGCCCUGCUUUUGUGGGGUGCUCGAGUGGCGAACGGGUGAGUAACACGUGAGUAACCUGCCCUUGACUUUGGGAUAACUUCAGGAAACUGGGGCCAAUACCGGAUAGGAGCUCCUGCUGCAUGGUGGGGGUUGGAAAGUUUCGGCGGUUGGGGAUGGACUCGCGGCUUAUCAGCUUGUUGGUGGGGUAGUGGCUUACCAAGGCUUUGACGGGUAGCCGGCCUGAGAGGGUGACCGGCCACAUUGGGACUGAGAUACGGCCCAGACUCCUACGGGAGGCAGCAGUGGGGAAUAUUGCACAAUGGGCGGAAGCCUGAUGCAGCAACGCCGCGUGCGGGAUGACGGCCUUCGGGUUGUAAACCGCUUUCGCCUGUGACGAAGCGUGAGUGACGGUAAUGGGUAAAGAAGCACCGGCUAACUACGUGCCAGCAGCCGCGGUGAUACGUAGGGUGCGAGCGUUGUCCGGAUUUAUUGGGCGUAAAGGGCUCGUAGGUGGUUGAUCGCGUCGGAAGUGUAAUCUUGGGGCUUAACCCUGAGCGUGCUUUCGAUACGGGUUGACUUGAGGAAGGUAGGGGAGAAUGGAAUUCCUGGUGGAGCGGUGGAAUGCGCAGAUAUCAGGAGGAACACCAGUGGCGAAGGCGGUUCUCUGGGCCUUUCCUGACGUUGAGGAGCGAAAGCGUGGGGAGCGAACAGGCUUAGAUACCCUGGUAGUCCACGCUGUAAACGGUGGGUACUAGGUGUGGGGUCCAUUCCACGGGUUCCGUGCCGUAGCUAACGCUUUAAGUACCCCGCCUGGGGAGUACGGCCGCAAGGCUAAAACUCAAAGGAAUUGACGGGGCCCCGCACAAGCGGCGGAGCAUGCGGAUUAAUUCGAUGCAACGCGUAGAACCUUACCUGGGUUUGACAUGGAUCGGGAGUGCUCAGAGAUGGGUGUGCCUCUUUUGGGGUCGGUUCACAGGUGGUGCAUGGCUGUCGUCAGCUCGUGUCGUGAGAUGUUGGGUUAAGUCCCGCAACGAGCGCAACCCUUGUUCACUGUUGCCAGCACGUUAUGGUGGGGACUCAGUGGAGACCGCCGGGGUCAACUCGGAGGAAGGUGGGGAUGACGUCAAGUCAUCAUGCCCCUUAUGUCCAGGGCUUCACGCAUGCUACAAUGGCUGGUACAGAGAGUGGCGAGCCUGUGAGGGUGAGCGAAUCUCGGAAAGCCGGUCUCAGUUCGGAUUGGGGUCUGCAACUCGACCUCAUGAAGUCGGAGUCGCUAGUAAUCGCAGAUCAGCAACGCUGCGGUGAAUACGUUCCCGGG